GAGCUGAACUUCCUGAAAAGCAGUAGUAGCAUUACUUCUGAGAGGAUAAUUGUGCUUGAAAAACAGCUGAGGAACUCUGAGCUUCAACUUCAGCACGCAGUUGCAUCUGCUGAAGCUAGUCAAGAGAAGCAAAUCAUGUUGAAUUCUACAAUCAAAGACAUGGAAGAUUUGAUUGAGGAUCUAAAAUCAAAGGUUUCUAAAGCAGAAAGUUUGAUGGAGAGUGCUGAAGAUAAGUGCAUUAUCUUGUCAGAAUCUAACUCAGAUCUUAAUGAAGAAUUAACUUUUGUGAGGGGUAGGUUGGCAUGUUUGGAGUCAUCGUUACGCCAAGCUGAG
This 333-nucleotide unclassified non-coding RNA is filed under the name Hevea brasiliensis (rubber tree). The record is from RNAcentral. Lineage: Eukaryota; Viridiplantae; Streptophyta; Magnoliopsida; Malpighiales; Euphorbiaceae.